This 440-nucleotide ribosomal RNA is filed under the name uncultured bacterium. Its description in RNAcentral is "partial 16S ribosomal RNA". It matches the Rfam family "Bacterial small subunit ribosomal RNA", at positions 338 to 795 of the family's 1533-position model. The record is from RNAcentral.
CCUACGGGAGGCAGCAGUGGGGAAUAUUGCACAAUGGGGGAAACCCUGAUGCAGCGACGCCGCGUGAGUGAAGAAGGAAUUCGGUAUGUAAAGCUCUAUCAGCAGGGAAGAAAAUGACGGUACCUGAGUAAGAAGCCCCGGCUAACUACGUGCCAGCAGCCGCGGUAAUACGUAGGGGGCAAGCGUUAUCCGGAUUUACUGGGUGUAAAGGGAGCGUAGACGGCAGGGCAAGUCUGGAGUGAAAGGCGGGGGCUCAACCCCCGGACUGCUCUGGAAACUGUACGGCUGGAGUGCAGGAGAGGUCAGUGGAAUUCCUAGUGUAGCGGUGAAAUGCGUAGAUAUUAGGAGGAACACCAGUGGCGAAGGCGGCUUACUGGACUGUAACUGACGUUGAGGCUCGAAAGCGUGGGGAGCAAACAGGAUUAGAUACCCUGGUAGUC